This 292-nucleotide ribosomal RNA is filed under the name uncultured bacterium. Its description in RNAcentral is "partial 16S ribosomal RNA". It matches the Rfam family "Bacterial small subunit ribosomal RNA", at positions 505 to 796 of the family's 1533-position model. The record is from RNAcentral.
GUGUCAGCCGCCGCGGUAAUACGUAGGGGGCAAGCGUUGUCCGGAAUUAUUGGGCGUAAAGAGCGUGUAGGCGGAUAUUUAAGUCAGAUGUGAAAACUGGCGGCUCAACCGUGAGACUGCAUCUGAUACUGGAUAUCUUGAGGGUAAGAGAGGGCAGUGGAAUUCCUAGUGUAGCGGUGAAAUGCGUAGAUAUUAGGAGGAACACCAGUGGCGAAGGCGACUGCCUGGCUUACAACUGACGCUGAGACGCGAAAGCGUGGGGAGCAAACAGGAUUAGAUACCCUUGUAGUCC